Non-coding RNA from Vicugna pacos (alpaca), 728 nucleotides. The record is from RefSeq and is a predicted model, not a curated record. NCBI's taxonomy places the organism in Eukaryota, Metazoa, Chordata, Mammalia, Artiodactyla, Camelidae.
UCCUGCUUGCAAAUGUGCAGUAAAUCUUGUGUCCAGUAGGCAACUUACAGAGGGGAUGACAAUUCUCCAAGCUAAAGACAGUAUAUCCAAUUUUUUUAAUUCCCUGAUUCAGUAUCAAUUAUUGAAUUCAAAACUUGAAAGAAACCUAUGACUUCUUGUCCCUUAACCUUAAGGAAAAUGAUCAGAUACAGUGAGACUUUUCAGCUUUAUUAUGAGAAAGACCUUUUCAUUUCCAGGAAGGCUUGCAUUCAUGUUGACAGGGCAUACUUAGGGGGAGAAAAUCCCUAUGGCCCUGAGGAAGCCUGCUCUGAUGGGAUUACUCUUUCUGCCUAUCUACAAUACUCUCUUAUUUCUGGGACUUCUCAAGCAGGGAAUUCCAGCAAAUUUUGAAAAAUAAAGAGUUAAAGAUGGAGUAGGAAGUGGCCACUUUCUAAAAAAAAAAAAAAAAAAAUCAGGCAAAAAAAUGCCAUACUUCUUUCAGAAUCUUGAUCAAACAUAACUGAAGUUAGCAUUAUUCCCCCUAAAGAUUAUCUAUAAUUCCUCCUCCUGCAUUUUGGAGGAAGUUAAUAAUUUUCCAAAAAUCAAACCGCAUGUAUUUGAUGUUAACUAUUUAGGUCCAUACUUAGGAGGUGAGAAAAUAUCUAACAGGCUAACAGCAUUUGUUGGUCAUUUUUCAUGGAAUCUGCUCUCUUAGCUAUUCUUUCUUGAAAAGAUCAGGAAGAGCACAC